GCAAGUCGAGGGGUAACAUUGUAGCUUGCUACAGAUGGCGACCGGCGCACGGGUGCGUAACGCGUAUAGAAUCUACCUUAUACUAGGGAAUAGCCUUUGGAAACGAAGAUUAAUGCCCUAUAGUAUGAUUACUUGGCAUCAGGUAAUCAUUAAAGGUUACGGUAUAAGAUGACUAUGCGUUCUAUUAGCUAGAUGGUGUGGUAACGGCACACCAUGGCAACGAUAGAUAGGGGCCCUGAGAGGGGGAUC
RNAcentral lists this ribosomal RNA (249 nucleotides) under uncultured bacterium. RNAcentral's name for it is "partial 16S ribosomal RNA". It matches the Rfam family "Bacterial small subunit ribosomal RNA", at positions 57 to 305 of the family's 1533-position model. The record is from RNAcentral.